RNAcentral lists this ribosomal RNA (374 nucleotides) under uncultured organism. RNAcentral describes it as "partial 16S ribosomal RNA". It matches the Rfam family "Bacterial small subunit ribosomal RNA", at positions 527 to 896 of the family's 1533-position model. The record is from RNAcentral.
GGAAGGUGCGAGCGUUAAUCGGGAAUCACUGGGCGUAAAGCGCGCGUAGGCGGUUAGGUAAGUCAGAUGUGAAAGCCCCCGGGGCUUAACCUGGGGAACUGCGUUUGAUACUGCCUAACUAGAGUGUGAUAGAGGGAAGUGGAAUUCCACAUGUAGCGGUGAAAUGCGUAGAGAUGUGGAGGAACACCAAUGGCGAAGGCAACUUCCUGGAUCAACACUGACGCUCAGGUGCGAAAGCGUGGGGAGCAAACAGGAUUAGAUACCCUGGUAGUCCACGCUGUAAACGAUGUCUACUAGCCGUUGGGAGGGUUUGCCUCUUAGUGGCGCAGCUAACGCGAUAAGUAGACCGCCUGGGGAGUACGGCCGCAAGGUUA